AGUCUCAAAGCACAUUGAUUUUUCUUUGAUGUGGCUUUGGAUGGGUGGGGGUUGUGUUUUUGCAGGCUUUCAAAAGUGAAGUCGGCUCCCCUGAAAUGCAUGAGUGGUAUCUGAGAAAGGCUACUUGCAGGCAUAAAUAAUUUAUCUGUGCCUCUUUGCCCAUACAAAAAACAGAUCACACUGCUUCUAACAAAAAUGACCAA
This 203-nucleotide unclassified non-coding RNA is filed under the name uncultured Agaricales. Its description in RNAcentral is "sequence contains ITS2". The record is from RNAcentral. Lineage: Eukaryota; Fungi; Basidiomycota; Agaricomycetes; Agaricales.